UACGUAGGGUGCGAGCGUUGUCCGGAAUUAUUGGGCGUAAAGAGCGUGUAGGCGGCUUGGUAAGUCCGCUGUGAAAGUCCAGGGCUCAACCCUGGAAUGCCGGUGGAAACUGUCAAGCUUGAGUCCGGAAGAGGCGAGUGGAAUUCCUGGUGUAGCGGUGAAAUGCGCAGAUAUCAGGAGGAACACCAAUGGCGAAGGCAGCUCGCUGGGACGGUACUGACGCUGAGACGCGAAAGCGUGGGGAGCAAACAGG
This 253-nucleotide ribosomal RNA is filed under the name uncultured bacterium. RNAcentral describes it as "partial 16S ribosomal RNA". It matches the Rfam family "Bacterial small subunit ribosomal RNA", at positions 524 to 776 of the family's 1533-position model. The record is from RNAcentral.